CGCUGGCGGCGUGCCUAACACAUGCAAGUCGAGCGGGGACAUACGACGGAGUCAAGUUUCGGAUGGAGACGAAGAUGUAUGUUCUAGCGGCGGACGGGUGAGUAACGCGUGAGCAACCUGUCCCUUACAGGGGAUAACACAGCGAAAGUUGUACUAAUACCGCAUGAGACCACGGGAGGACAUCCUCCAGGGGUCAAAGGAGCAAUCCGGUAAGGGGUGGGCUCGCGUCCGAUUAGAUAGUUGGUGAGGUAACGGCCCACCAAGUCGACGAUCGGUAGCCGACCUGAGAGGGUGAUCGGCCACAUUGGGACUGAGACACGGCCCAAACUCCUACGGGAGGCAGCAGUGGGGAAUAUUGGGCAAUGGGGGGAAACCCUGACCCAGCAACGCCGCGUGAGGGAAGAAGGUUUUCGGAUCGUAAACCUCUGUCCUUGGUGAAGAGUGAGAGACGGUAGCCAAGGAGGAAGCCCCGGCUAACUACGUGCCAGCCGCCGC
RNAcentral lists this ribosomal RNA (495 nucleotides) under uncultured bacterium. Its description in RNAcentral is "bacterial SSU rRNA". It matches the Rfam family "Bacterial small subunit ribosomal RNA", at positions 34 to 518 of the family's 1533-position model. The record is from RNAcentral.